CACAGAUUAGAGAAACGGCAUCUCGCAAGGCUCAUAACCUUGAGGUAGUGGGUUCGACUCCCGCAUCUGCAACCA
Molecule: transfer RNA, 75 nt
Filed under: Ruminococcus sp.
Lineage: Bacteria; Bacillati; Bacillota; Clostridia; Eubacteriales; Oscillospiraceae
Description: tRNA-Met
Rfam family: tRNA
About the family: Transfer RNA (tRNA) molecules are approximately 80 nucleotides in length. Their secondary structure includes four short double-helical elements and three loops (D, anti-codon, and T loops).
Source: RNAcentral